RNAcentral lists this long non-coding RNA (210 nucleotides) under Elaeis guineensis (African oil palm). RNAcentral describes it as "long non-coding RNA (EGUI_LNC076302)". The record is from RNAcentral. Lineage: Eukaryota; Viridiplantae; Streptophyta; Magnoliopsida; Arecales; Arecaceae.
UGCAUGAAUAAAUUAAAUAUGAGUUUCUCUGGUGCAUUACAAGUGCACUAGCUGUCAUAUCAAAUCUGAGGGAAAAAAUAAGAUACUAUUGUAAUACUAGAAACUAUCUGUUAUAGUCCAAGCCCAAAUUAAAAGAUCCAAACCCAUUAAAAAAAAAAACAGGAGAAUCGGGAAGAAGACUCCCGGUAGGAGUCUUCUUCUCCGAUUAAC